GAUGAACGCUAGCGGAAGGCUUAAUACAUGCAAGUCGAGCGGUAGGUGGCUUCGGCCAUUGAGAGCGGCGCACGGGUGAGUAACGCGUACAUGACCUGCCUGUCAGAAGGGGAUAGCCCUGGGAAACUGGGAUUAAAUACCCUAUGGUAUUGAUAUUAUGAAUGAUAUCAAUUAAAGUUGAGGCGCUGACAGAUGGAUGUGCGUCUGAUUAGCUAGUUGGUAAGGUAACGGCCUACCAAGGCGACGAUCAGUAGGGGGCGUGAGAGCGUGGGUCCCCCACACGGGUACUGAGACACGGACCCGACUCCUACGGGAGGCAGCAGUAAGGAAUAUUGGUCAAUGCCCGCAAGGGUGAACCAGCCAUUCCGCGUGGAGGAUGAAGGCCCUAUGGGUUGUAAACUUCUUUUAGAUGGGAAGAAAAUGCUAGAUGUAUCUGGUACUGACGGUACCAUCAGAAUAAGCACCGGCUAACUCCGUGCCAGCAGCCGCGGU
This 492-nucleotide ribosomal RNA is filed under the name uncultured bacterium. RNAcentral's name for it is "bacterial SSU rRNA". It matches the Rfam family "Bacterial small subunit ribosomal RNA", at positions 28 to 521 of the family's 1533-position model. The record is from RNAcentral.